Molecule: small RNA, 29 nt
Filed under: Bombyx mori (domestic silkworm)
Lineage: Eukaryota; Metazoa; Arthropoda; Insecta; Lepidoptera; Bombycidae
Description: ovarian small RNA-34726
Source: RNAcentral
UGGCAAUUAUUGGAGGCGUGCCCGUAAGC